This 497-nucleotide ribosomal RNA is filed under the name uncultured bacterium. Its description in RNAcentral is "partial 16S ribosomal RNA". It matches the Rfam family "Bacterial small subunit ribosomal RNA", at positions 28 to 507 of the family's 1533-position model. The record is from RNAcentral.
GAUGAACGCUGGCGGCGUGCCUAAUACAUGCAAGUCGAGCGAACAGAUGAGGAGCUUGCUCCUCUGACGUUAGCGGCGGACGGGUGAGUAACACGUGGAUAACCUACCUAUAAGACUGGGAUAACUUCGGGAAACCGGAGCUAAUACCGGAUAAUAUAUUGAACCGCAUGGUUCAAUAGUGAAAGACGGUUUUGCUGUCACUUAUAGAUGGAUCCGCGCCGCAUUAGCUAGUUGGUAAGGUAACGGCUUACCAAGGCAACGAUGAGUAGCCGACCUGAGAGGGUGAUCGGCCACACUGGAACUGAGACACGGUCCAGACUCCUACGGGAGGCAGCAGUAGGGAAUCUUCCGCAAAGGGCGAAAGCCUGACGGAGCAACGCCGCGUGAGUGAUGAAGGUCUUCGGAUCGUAAAACUCUGUUAUUAGGGAAGAACAAAUGUGUAAGUAACUAUGCACGUCUUGACGGUACCUAAUCAGAAAGCCACGGCUAACUACGUG